GCCUUCGUGGUGUAGCGGUUAGAACACUCGGUGUGUAUUCGAAAGAUCUAGGUUCGAGUCCCGGCGAAGGCA
Molecule: transfer RNA, 72 nt
Filed under: Stegodyphus mimosarum
Lineage: Eukaryota; Metazoa; Arthropoda; Arachnida; Araneae; Eresidae
Rfam family: tRNA
About the family: Transfer RNA (tRNA) molecules are approximately 80 nucleotides in length. Their secondary structure includes four short double-helical elements and three loops (D, anti-codon, and T loops). Further hydrogen bonds mediate the characteristic L-shaped molecular structure. tRNAs have two regions of fundamental functional importance: the anti-codon, which is responsible for specific mRNA codon recognition, and the 3' end, to which the tRNAs corresponding amino acid is attached (by aminoacyl-tRNA synthetases). tRNAs cope with the degeneracy of the genetic code in two manners: having more than one tRNA (with a specific anti-codon) for a particular amino acid; and 'wobble' base-pairing, i.e. permitting non-standard base-pairing at the 3rd anti-codon position.
Source: Rfam by way of RNAcentral